AGCCCGCUCGCUCAUUGCGGCAGAGGCCUAAUGUAACACCCAAAAUUUGAAUUUCAACUAAUAGGGUUUAAUGAGAAUUAUUUAAGCAGUUUUUGUGGGCAUUUAAUCUAGUAAAUAAAAUAUUUUUGUCAAAAUUAAAAUUUAACAUAAGAUUAGAAACUUGUUUAUGCAUUCAUGCCGAAGAAUAUUUUAUUUUGUAUUGUUUGCCUCUGGCUUGAAUUUAUUUGCAUUCAAAAUCUUAUUUGAAAAAGGUUUAGUUUGGAAAAGAAAACAGAAAAGAAAAUAAAAAAAGGAAACAAAACCCCAGCCGAAGCCCAGCCCCGGCCUGCUCCCUUUUCCCCUCCCCGGCCCAGCAAGCCCACGCGCGCACUCCCUCUCUCUCCCUCCUUUCUGCGGCUGACGACAUGGACCCGCUUGUCAGCGCCCUGUUCUUCUUCCUGGAGUCGGAACCGAGCCGGACUCCGUUGCAGCCGUGUUCAAUCCCGGAUUGUUCGGGAUUUCCUUGCUCUCCUCGCAAACCGAGCGCUAUAAAGCGUUUUCCCUCAACCCCGCAACCUCC
RNAcentral lists this long non-coding RNA (559 nucleotides) under Sorghum bicolor (sorghum). Its description in RNAcentral is "long non-coding RNA (SBIC_LNC016552)". The record is from RNAcentral. Lineage: Eukaryota; Viridiplantae; Streptophyta; Magnoliopsida; Poales; Poaceae.